UCCGUAGGCGGUGUGGUAAGUCGGGAGUGAAAUCUCUGGGCUUAACCCAGAGGCUGCUUCCGAAACUGCCGUGCUAGAGUGUGGGAGAGGCGAGUGGAAUUACGGGUGUAGCGGUGAAAUGCGUAGAUAUCCGUAGGAACAUCCGAGGCGAAGGCGGCUCGCUGGAUCACAACUGACGCUGAGGGACGAAAGCUAGGGGAGCAAACA
This 207-nucleotide ribosomal RNA is filed under the name uncultured bacterium. RNAcentral's name for it is "partial 16S ribosomal RNA". It matches the Rfam family "Bacterial small subunit ribosomal RNA", at positions 568 to 774 of the family's 1533-position model. The record is from RNAcentral.